GCUGAUGUGGCUCAGUGGUAGAGCAGCGCACUCGUAAUGCGCAGGUCGGGAGUUCGAAUCUCCCCAUCAGCU
This 72-nucleotide transfer RNA is filed under the name Peptococcaceae bacterium. Its description in RNAcentral is "tRNA-Thr". It matches the Rfam family "tRNA". Rfam says of the family: Transfer RNA (tRNA) molecules are approximately 80 nucleotides in length. Their secondary structure includes four short double-helical elements and three loops (D, anti-codon, and T loops). Further hydrogen bonds mediate the characteristic L-shaped molecular structure. tRNAs have two regions of fundamental functional importance: the anti-codon, which is responsible for specific mRNA codon recognition, and the 3' end, to which the tRNAs corresponding amino acid is attached (by aminoacyl-tRNA synthetases). tRNAs cope with the degeneracy of the genetic code in two manners: having more than one tRNA (with a specific anti-codon) for a particular amino acid; and 'wobble' base-pairing, i.e. permitting non-standard base-pairing at the 3rd anti-codon position. Lineage: Bacteria; Bacillati; Bacillota; Clostridia; Eubacteriales; Peptococcaceae. The record is from RNAcentral.